UACGGGGGGGGCAAGCGUUGUUCGGAAUUACUGGGCGUAAAGGGCUCGUAGGCGGCCAACUAAGUCGGAUGUGAAAUCCCCAGGCUUAACCUGGGAACUGCAUCCGAUACUGGAUGGCUUGAAUCCGGGAGAGGGAUGCAGAAUUCCAGGUGUAGCGGUGAAAUGCGUAGAUAUCUGGAGGAAUACCGGUGGCGGAGGCGGCAUCCUGGACCGGCAUUGACGCUGAGUGAGCGAAAGCCAGGGGAGCAAACGGG
Molecule: ribosomal RNA, 254 nt
Filed under: uncultured bacterium
Lineage: Bacteria
Description: partial 16S ribosomal RNA
Rfam family: Bacterial small subunit ribosomal RNA
Source: RNAcentral